Vespula pensylvanica (western yellowjacket) is the source of this 1631-nucleotide long non-coding RNA. RefSeq lists it as uncharacterized. Lineage: Eukaryota; Metazoa; Arthropoda; Insecta; Hymenoptera; Vespidae. The record is from RefSeq and is a predicted model, not a curated record. The transcript has 3 exons.
UAUUAUAAUUGAUUUUAAAAUAUUCUAUAUAAUUGAUUUUUAAAUAUUUGGCAUUAGUAGUAGAGUCAUAGCCCGCGGGUCUCCGUAUGCAGCAACCUCCAAGUGGUGAGACCUGGAAAUCGAUAUUACUUGCGAUAUAUGAUAAAUGUAAAUAACGCAAGUACUGUCGAGCUAAUGGCUGCAUUUAUAUUCAAUCAAAAUUUAUUAUGUUCUAUAAUGAUUUUUUCCAUUUUUCCUUAUUGUCCAUUUCUUAUAUAUCAAUGGAAAUAUAGAUAGAUUAUUUUAUUAUUUAAUAUAUUCAUUAUUAUAUCUUUUUUUCUUUCUUUUUCUCUUUUCUGUUUUUUGCAAGAUGCAUGUGAAACUUCCAUAUAUGUUAAUAAUAAUAUCUUUAAAAAUAAAUCUCCUUUCUGAUUGCCUUAUUUUCUGAGUCUGCAUUAACAAACAAAUAAUAUUAUAAAAUAAAAAGAAAUAAUCAACGAUAUGUAUCCUUUAAUAAUAAUACAUAUUAUUAUAUUACCUGAAUUAUCAUAGUAUCGAUUGUGCAAUUGAUUGAUUAUUUUUAAUCAAGAUUUGAUCCUUUGAACUCAUGCCGAUUGAUAACUUUCGUCUUUGAUAUAAUGGAAUAAAUGGAGGAACUUAAAAAUUCAUUUACUAUUUAACAAGUUCAGAAUACAAAAGAAAAUUAAUUCACAACGAAAGUGAUAAUGAAAAAUAUAAGAAAUGCUGUGUACUACAACUUUUACUGCAUAUAAAAAUUUCUGUCAUACACUAACUUCAUUGUUAAGAUAUGCUUGAGAAAGCUAUAACUAACACAAACUUAUAGAUCGGUACAGUAGGUGCAUAAUGGAGACAGUGUUUCCCUAUUGCACUUUUAGUUCAUAUUUUGUCCAUACCUGAUGUAGUCGCAUACGCUACGAGCGAAAGUUGGUGAAUAGACUUCAGAAUUUCUGAAAAAAGAGGGGAUAAUGAGUUUAAGAAAACUGCGUCUAUAGGAAUGCCAGAAACACAACAAUCUUAAUAUAUAACUGGAUCUAAUGAAGAAAAACCACUUUUACUAACCAGAGAAACUCAUUUAUCAUAUUCAAGAAGAUAAAGACGAUAUCUCUCGAGCUAUUCGAUCAAUCCGAAACUCGAAUUCUUCGGAUUGUCGCGUUAUUGUUUUACAAAAAGGCAAACGUUGCUCAACCAUGAUUAUAAAAGAGCAUUCGCUAAUUAGCCGAAGGCACGAUGCGUGAAUCGCUGCGUCACAAAAAGAACCAAGGAAAUGACAACGAUGGAUGGGCAAGUUAAGUCGAGAAGAAGAAGUUUGGGGGUGUGGCGUUCACUUGGCCAGCUUGGUACAGGUACGCUCCAUUGAUCGAAUUGAGGAGGCAGCGACCGGGUGGCUAGUCCGCAGAGAAAAAAGAGAGGGAGAAAAUGACUAAGUGAGUGUGUGUGUAUGAGAAAGAGAGAGAGAGAGAGAAUGGAAGAAGGGCAGAAACGGGGUGGAGAAAAAGAGCCGCGGCCAUUCGAGUGGGACGAGAAUGGCGCGGAGAUUCUUUCGUGACUCUCUCUCACAUCAUUGGUCGUCUUCCUCCCCUUCCCCUUCCUCUUCAACAGCGGUCGUGAGAUUGACACUGGCGCAGAGAGAG